RNAcentral lists this ribosomal RNA (935 nucleotides) under Syntrophaceae bacterium enrichment culture clone B6_116. RNAcentral's name for it is "bacterial SSU rRNA". It matches the Rfam family "Bacterial small subunit ribosomal RNA", at positions 8 to 916 of the family's 1533-position model. The record is from RNAcentral. Lineage: Bacteria; Pseudomonadati; Thermodesulfobacteriota; Syntrophia; Syntrophales; Syntrophaceae.
AGAGUUUGAUCAUGGCUCAGAACAAACGCUGGCGGCGUGCCUAACACAUGCAAGUCGUACGAGAAAGUCCGCUUCGGUGGGCAAGUAAAGUGGCGCACGGGUGAGUAACGCGUGGAUAAUCUACCCUUUAGUCCGGAAUAACUUAUCGAAAGGUGAACUAAUACCGGAUAAUAUCCCGAAUUCUCCGGAAAUCGGGAUCAAAGAAGGCCUCUGCUUGCAAGCUUUUGCUGAAGGAUGAGUCCGCGUACCAUUAGCUAGUUGGUAGGGUAAAGGCCUACCAAGGUUAUGAUGGUUAGCUGGUCUGAGAGGAUGAUCAGCCACACUGGAACUGAAACACGGUCCAGACUCCUACGGGAGGCAGCAGUGAGGAAUAUUGCGCAAUGGGGGCAACCCUGACGCAGCAACGCCGCGUGAGUGAGGAAGGUUUUCGGAUUGUAAAGCUCUGUCGAGCGGAAAGAAAUAUAUGGUGGCUAAUAUUCACCAUAUUUGACGGUACCGUUAGAGGAAGCACCGGCUAACUCCGCGCCAGCAGCCGCGGUAAUACGGGGGGUGCAAGCGUUGUUCGGAAUCAUUGGGCGUAAAGAGCGUGUAGGCGGCUGGACAAGUCAGAUGUGAAAGCCCUGGGCUUAACCCAGGAAGUGCAUUUGAAACUGUCUUGCUUGAGUAAGGGAGAGGAAAGUGGAAUUCCUGGUGUAGAGGUGAAAUUCGUAGAUAUCAGGAGGAACACCGGUGGCGAAGGCGACUUUCUGGCCCUAUACUGACGCUGAGACGGGAAAGCGUGGGUAGCAAACAGGAUUAGAUACCCUGGUAGUCCACGCUGUAAACGAUGUUCACUAGGUGUUGGGGGUAUUGACCCUUCCAGUGCCGCAGCUAACGCAUUAAGUGAACCGCCUGGGGAGUACGGUCGCAAGAUUAAAACUCAAAUGAAUUGACGG